GCAGUCGAGCGAGCUUUCGGGCUUAGCGGCGGACGGGUGAGUAACGCGUGGGAACGUGCCCUUUGGUACGGAAUAGUCCUGGGAAACUGGGUUUAAUACCGUAUAUUCCCUUCGGGGGAAAGAUUUAUCGCCAAAGGAUCGGCCCGCGUUGGAUUAGGUAGUUGGUGGGGUAAUGGCCUACCAAGCCGACGAUCCAUAGCUGGUUUGAGAGGAUGAUCAGCCACACUGGGACUGAGACACGGCCCAGACUCCUACGGGAGGCAGCAGUGGGGAAUCUUAGACAAUGGGGGCAACCCUGAUCUAGCCAUGCCGCGUGAUCGAUGAAGGCCUUAGGGUUGUAAAGAUCUUUCGCUGGGGAAGAUAAUGACGGUACCCAGUAAAGAAGCCCCGGCUAACUCCGUGCCAGCAGCCGCGGUAAUACGGAGGGGGCUAGCGUUGUUCGGAAUUACUGGGCGUAAAGCGCGCGUAGGCGGAUUGGAAAGUUGGGGGUGAAAUCCCGGGGCUCAACCCCGGAACUGCCUCCAAAACUAUCAGUCUGGAGUUCGAGAGAGGUGAGUGGAAUUG
RNAcentral lists this ribosomal RNA (564 nucleotides) under bacterium SL3.39. RNAcentral describes it as "bacterial SSU rRNA". It matches the Rfam family "Bacterial small subunit ribosomal RNA", at positions 57 to 669 of the family's 1533-position model. The record is from RNAcentral.